RNAcentral lists this transfer RNA (67 nucleotides) under Potomida littoralis. Its description in RNAcentral is "tRNA-Lys". The record is from RNAcentral. Lineage: Eukaryota; Metazoa; Mollusca; Bivalvia; Unionida; Unionidae.
UCCAUGAUGGCCGAGAACCUAGGCAUUAAGCUUUUAACUUAAACACAGUUUCCAAAACUCCAUGGAC